This 69-nucleotide transfer RNA is filed under the name Ictidomys tridecemlineatus (thirteen-lined ground squirrel). RNAcentral's name for it is "Spermophilus tridecemlineatus (thirteen-lined ground squirrel) tRNA". It matches the Rfam family "tRNA". Rfam says of the family: Transfer RNA (tRNA) molecules are approximately 80 nucleotides in length. Their secondary structure includes four short double-helical elements and three loops (D, anti-codon, and T loops). The record is from Rfam by way of RNAcentral. Lineage: Eukaryota; Metazoa; Chordata; Mammalia; Rodentia; Sciuridae.
GGGGAUGUGGCUCAGUGGUAGAGCUCUUCCCUUGGAUGUGGGAGGUACUGGGUUCAAUUCUCAGCACCA